Molecule: ribosomal RNA, 927 nt
Filed under: uncultured bacterium
Lineage: Bacteria
Description: bacterial SSU rRNA
Rfam family: Bacterial small subunit ribosomal RNA
Source: RNAcentral
UGACGGUACCUGACUAAGAAGCCCCGGCUAACUACGUGCCAGCAGCCGCGGUAAUACGGAGGAUUCAAGCGUUAUCCGGAUUUAUUGGGUUUAAAGGGUGCGUAGGCGGUUUGAUAAGUUAGAGGUGAAAUUUCGGGGCUCAACCCUGAACGUGCCUCUAAUACUGUUGAGCUAGAGAGUAGUUGCGGUAGGCGGAAUGUAUGGUGUAGCGGUGAAAUGCUUAGAGAUCAUACAGAACACCGAUUGCGAAGGCAGCUUACCAAACUAUAUCUGACGUUGAGGCACGAAAGCGUGGGGAGCAAACAGGAUUAGAUACCCUGGUAGUCCACGCAGUAAACGAUGAUAACUCGUUGUCGGCGAUACACAGUCGGUGACUAAGCGAAAGCGAUAAGUUAUCCACCUGGGGAGUACGUUCGCAAGAAUGAAACUCAAAGGAAUUGACGGGGGCCCGCACAAGCGGAGGAACAUGUGGUUUAAUUCGAUGAUACGCGAGGAACCUUACCCGGGCUUGAAAGUUAGCGACGAUUCUUGAAAGAGGAUUUCCCUUCGGGGCGCGAAACUAGGUGCUGCAUGGUUGUCGUCAGCUCGUGCCGUGAGGUGUCGGGUUAAGUCCCAUAACGAGCGCAACCCCUACCGUUAGUUGCCAUCAGGUCAAGCUGGGCACUCUGGCGGGACUGCCGGUGUAAGCCGAGAGGAAGGUGGGGAUGACGUCAAAUCAGCACGGCCCUUACGUCCGGGGCUACACACGUGUUACAAUGGUAGGUACAGAGGGCAGCUACCCAGCGAUGGGAUGCGAAUCUCGAAAGCCUAUCUCAGUUCGGAUUGGAGGCUGAAACCCGCCUCCAUGAAGUUGGAUUCGCUAGUAAUCGCGCAUCAGCCAUGGCGCGGUGAAUACGUUCCCGGGCCUUGCACACACCGCCCGUCAAG